This 66-nucleotide transfer RNA is filed under the name Bavayia sauvagii. RNAcentral's name for it is "tRNA-Cys". Lineage: Eukaryota; Metazoa; Chordata; Lepidosauria; Squamata; Diplodactylidae. The record is from RNAcentral.
AGCUCUGUAGUGAUUAACACAUUAAAUUGCAAAUUUAAAAAAGUUCCUUCUUUGGUUCCGGGGCUU